Small nucleolar RNA from Protobothrops mucrosquamatus (brown spotted pit viper), 66 nucleotides. RefSeq annotates it as small nucleolar RNA SNORD58. Lineage: Eukaryota; Metazoa; Chordata; Lepidosauria; Squamata; Viperidae. The transcript has a single exon. The record is from RefSeq and is a predicted model, not a curated record.
CUGCGAUGAUGACUCUUAGGACACCUUUGGAUGUAAAUAAUGAAAAUACUAUGAAUUCUGAGCAGC